RNAcentral lists this ribosomal RNA (468 nucleotides) under uncultured bacterium. RNAcentral's name for it is "partial 16S ribosomal RNA". It matches the Rfam family "Bacterial small subunit ribosomal RNA", at positions 28 to 507 of the family's 1533-position model. The record is from RNAcentral.
GACGAACGCUGGCGGCGUGCUUAACACAUGCAAGUCGAACGGAAAGGCCCUGCUUUUGUGGGGUGCUCGAGUGGCGAACGGGUGAGUAACACGUGAGUAACCUGCCCUUGACUUUGGGAUAACUUCAGGAAACUGGGGCUAAUACCGGAUAGGAGCUCCUGCUGCAUGGUGGGGGUUGGAAAGUUUCGGCGGUUGGGGAUGGACUCGCGGCUUAUCAGCUUGUUGGUGGGGUAGUGGCUUACCAAGGCUUUGACGGGUAGCCGGCCUGAGAGGGUGACCGGCCACAUUGGGACUGAGGUACGGCCCAGACGCCUACGGGAGGCAGCAGUGGGGAAUAUUGCACAAUGGGCGGAAGCCUGAUGCAGCAACGCCGCGUGCGGGAUGACGGCCUUCGGGUUGUAAACCGCUUUCGCCUGUGACGAAGCGUGAGUGACGGUAAUGUGUAAAGAAGCACCGGCUAACUACGUG